CAUAUCUUCUGCUACAGAAUUUCGUCUUAAGGUUGCGAAGAAACUUGCAUUUCUGUCGCAAAUAAUUAAAAGUAUCUGUAAUUUCGAGCCUAAAAGAAGAAAAUGGGAAGAAAAAGAAGUAGAAAAAAUAAACGAGAUAUAUAAAGAAUGAUGAAGCUUCUGAAGCCAGAGAAGAAUAUCUCCAAAUUUUUUCAGAAUAUAAAUUAUUAAAUAACUUGUAACGAAGAAACGAAGACAUCCGAAAAUAUCGUAACUGAGAAAUUGAUAUUCUUCUGUUUAUAUUUAAGUCACCAAUAUUUCAAAUGGAGAUAUUUAAUUUUAAGAUAAAUUGUCUCCAAUAUCGCAUUGUUGUUCAGUUAGAAAAUCAAUAGAAUCAAAGAAGGAGAGUCAAGAAAGCCCCAAACAGAUACACACAAAUAAUGUCGACACUCAAGUUUUAGAGAAGUUUGGAAUUAUUAUGUCGACAGCUUAUCUAGUUGUCAAAUGCAUCUUGAGCAAUUUGAGUUGUCCGGAAUUGGACCAAUGUGCUUGGGUAUGCAUUCUUUGGAAGAAGGUUUCGGAAGACAUAUUAAAGAUAUGAUUACUGUAUUGGAUAUGAUCUUGCUACUGGACUUAGCAGAUAUUCUCCUUCAUUUGACAGACCGUCUGGGCUCAAUUGUGAAAUAAUCAGCCCUUCUGAGGUUGGUUUUGUCAUGGAUCUAUGUGACUUUGAUGUAAGAAUUGUGGAAUGUGAAGGAUGCGAGAGGAAAACUAACUUAUGUUGCAGUCACAAUUUACUUACCGAAAAUGAAACAAAAUUUUGGGAUAGCUUGUCCGAGUGUACAAUUUAUUCACUCUUAACAGACAUACACAAGCUUCCUGUUACUUGGAUUAACUUCUAUAGAAGGACGGCUAUCAUCAUUCCAUACGUGCCUGGAAUAAAGAUACAUUCAUUUAAUUUUCCUUGUGCAGGAGUCAUAAUUAAAAGUUUAGCAUACAAUGACUUCUUGAAGAUGGCAAAUAUUCCUUCUGAAGAAGACAUAAAGUGCUUAUUGUUGUUUUUUGAUGACUUUAGAGGCACAAAAAGAAUUUUAUCUUGGUUAUCUGGACAAAAUAAAGAAAUGGCAGUUGCCGGUGCAACACUAAGUUGUAAGAGUGGUUCAAAACAGUGCAUGGGUAUUGCAUUUUCUGGUAAACAUAUUCGAGCCUCUUCGCUAAUUCUUAAAAAUGACGACAAGGAUUUUAUACAAGAAAAGUUUAAAAAAUUGAAAGAAAGUAAUAUAUUUAACAUAUGCCUAGCAUUUAUAUUUGGCAACAGGGAUAUGUCUCCACCUUAUGAAGAAAUAUCACUCGCAAGUUGCAUAUUUAAAGAAAUGUUUCCUGAAAUUCCUUUAUUUGCUUUCUAUUCAUAUUCACAUUUUGCAUUAAAUUAUAUUCCAGGUCAGAUGGAAGAGGUGAACUGCAAUCGAAUUACAAUAUUAAAUCACUCUACAGCUUUUCUCCUGAUCUCACUGGGAACAAAUACUGUGUAAAUAAUUUUAACAGUAAUUUUACAGUUUUAAUUUUUGUUAAUUUAUAUCCUUUUCCUCAGUAUAUUCACAAAUAUAGAUGCUUUUUGAGCAUCCACUUCAAGUAUUUUUAACCUAUAAAUAAUCUGAAAAAAUGCAACAAUGUCUGGUUACUUGAUUUGGCUUCUAGGUUCAAAUUCCUCUUCUCCAACUGCUCUGGUUCCAAUUAUCCCUCUGCUCUGGUCUUCAGUUCAGAGUAAGUUAUCCCAAUUUUUGAUUUAUCAUAAAAUUUCUUCCUAAAUUCUUUUCUCUUUUGUCAAGUUGUCCUUUCACAAAAUAUAGUUAACUUAAUUUUUAUCUCAUCCAGUCAAAAAAUUGUAUAUUUUCUCCUUUCAUGUUUUGAAUCAUACCAGUGACUGAGUAGAUAAAACCACUAAACACUGGUAAUUAGUUGUGGGUUAUCCUCAUAAGUGAACCAUCUGUGCAGACAGAAAAGAGGUCAGUUGGUUGGUUUAUAGUUCCUCUUUUAUUUGCAUUUUUUUUUAUUGGUCAACAUUAUUGUCUUUUAAGAGAAUUAUUUUGUGCCAUUUGUGAAAGUUUAAAAAUAUGAUAACUGGUCCCUCUGUUGGUGGAUUUCAAUAAUUGGCAAAUGUUACUCCGAGGCAGUUUUUCUUUAAGCCAAUGGCUUUUGCCAGAGAACCUAUACUAACAAAGACAAUAUCAAGAGAAGUGAGACUUUCAAGAAAUCUGCAAAAGCUGGUAUAGCAAGAAAACUUUGGAUACCUCUAUCUUCUUCUGUUUGUUUAUUAUUGCUCUAUCAUCAUCUUAGAUUUUUCAUGUAUUUUAAUUCAUAAAUUUGUUUCAUUUUUGCCACAGAAAAGUAGAAAAUAUUAUUUACAUUUCUUUAAAACGUUUUCUUUGUUAGUUAUAUCAUACUUUUUCUUAUAUUUUCUUCAUUUUCCAACCAAUAUUUUUAUUCUAUCAAAUACAAAGCUAUACCUUCCAUUAUUCUGUAGUAUUAGUUAGUUUUUUUUUAAUUAUUUUUCUAAUCAUUACUUUCUUAUCACACACGGAAGAAACACUAAAAUAAAAAAUAAAAGUGUCUUUAACUUUUUCUCCUAAUUCACACCUUUGGAAUUUGACAAUAAUGUGACAAUUGCUUUGGCAGAGUCAAUCUUCAAACUCUCCUCAGCGUUGAUACACAAAAUAAUAAUAAAAUUCCUUUGUGUUGGUACAAUUAAAAAUAUAUAUUACAAAUAUAAAUAAAAUACUGUAUCUGGACAACAGUUAACUUUCUUUCUAAUUGGUUGAAGUGUUACUUUCUAAUUUAGUUUCGAAAAAUCCCUUCUUAGUGUGCAUUCCCGUGGUAUACCCUACUAAAACGCAGAUAUAAACAAAA
This 2886-nucleotide unclassified non-coding RNA is filed under the name Centruroides sculpturatus (bark scorpion). RNAcentral describes it as "uncharacterized LOC111614005, transcript variant X1". The record is from RNAcentral. Lineage: Eukaryota; Metazoa; Arthropoda; Arachnida; Scorpiones; Buthidae.